UACGUAGGUGGCAAGCGUUAUCCGGAUUUAUUGGGCGUAAAGGGAACGCAGGCGGUCUUUUAAGUCUGAUGUGGAAGCCUUCGGCUUAACCGGAGUAGUGCAUUGGAAACUGGGAGACUUGAGUGCAGAAGAGGAGAGUGGAACUCCAUGUGUAGCGGUGAAAUGCGUAGUUAUAUGGAAGAACACCAGUGGCGAAAGCGGCUCUCUGGUCUGUAACUGACGCUGAGGUUCGAAAGCGUGGGUAGCAAACAGG
Molecule: ribosomal RNA, 253 nt
Filed under: uncultured bacterium
Lineage: Bacteria
Description: partial 16S ribosomal RNA
Rfam family: Bacterial small subunit ribosomal RNA
Source: RNAcentral